CUACGUAGGGUGCGAGCGUUGUCCGGAAUUACUGGGCGUAAAGAGCUCGUAGGUGGUUUGUCGCGUCGUCUGUGAAAUUCCGGGGCUUAACUCCGGGCGUGCAGGCGAUACGGGCAUAACUUGAGUACUGUAGGGGAGACUGGAAUUCCUGGGGUAGCGGUGAAAUGCGCAGAUAUCAGGAGGAACACCGGUGGCGAAGGCGGGUCUCUGGGCAGUAACUGACGCUGAGGAGCGAAAGCAUGGGUAGCGAACAGGAUUAGAUACCCUGGUAGUCCAUGCCGUAAACGGUGGGCGCUAGGUGUAGGGGUCUUCCACGACUUCUGUGCCGUAGCUAACGCAUUAAGCGCCCCGCCUGGGGAGUACGGCCGCAAGGCUAAAACUCAAAUGAAUUGACGGGG
Molecule: ribosomal RNA, 398 nt
Filed under: uncultured bacterium
Lineage: Bacteria
Description: partial 16S ribosomal RNA
Rfam family: Bacterial small subunit ribosomal RNA
Source: RNAcentral